UACGGAGGGUGCAAGGCGUUAUCCGGAUUUACUGGGUUUAAAGGGUGCGUAGGUGGGUAGGUAAGUCAGUGGUGAAAUCUUCGAGCUUAACUCGGAAACUGCCAUUGAUACUAUUUAUCUUGAAUACUUUGGAGGUAAGCGGAAUAUGGUCAUGUAGCGGUGAAAUGCUUAGAUAUGACAUAGAACACCGAUUGCGAAGGCAGCUAACUACAGGGAUAUUGACACUGAGGCACGAAAGCGUGGGGAUCAAACAGG
This 255-nucleotide ribosomal RNA is filed under the name uncultured bacterium. Its description in RNAcentral is "partial 16S ribosomal RNA". It matches the Rfam family "Bacterial small subunit ribosomal RNA", at positions 524 to 776 of the family's 1533-position model. The record is from RNAcentral.